This 23-nucleotide small nuclear RNA is filed under the name Arabidopsis thaliana (thale cress). RNAcentral describes it as "snRNA_10880". The record is from RNAcentral. Lineage: Eukaryota; Viridiplantae; Streptophyta; Magnoliopsida; Brassicales; Brassicaceae.
UUUAUGAUGAAUACAUAAGAUAA